This 185-nucleotide ribosomal RNA is filed under the name uncultured Staphylococcus sp. RNAcentral's name for it is "partial 16S ribosomal RNA". It matches the Rfam family "Bacterial small subunit ribosomal RNA", at positions 154 to 334 of the family's 1533-position model. The record is from RNAcentral. Lineage: Bacteria; Bacillati; Bacillota; Bacilli; Caryophanales; Staphylococcaceae.
AAACCGGAGCUAAUACCGGAUAAUAUAUUAACCGCAUGGUUCAAUAGUGAAAGACGGUUUUGCUGUCACUUAUAGAUGGAUCCGCGCCGCAUUAGCUAGUUGGUAAGGUAACGGCUUACCAAGGCAACGAUGCGUAGCCGACCUGAGAGGGUGAUCGGCCACACUGGAACUGAGACACGGUCCAG